RNAcentral lists this ribosomal RNA (484 nucleotides) under uncultured bacterium. RNAcentral describes it as "partial 16S ribosomal RNA". It matches the Rfam family "Bacterial small subunit ribosomal RNA", at positions 28 to 523 of the family's 1533-position model. The record is from RNAcentral.
GACGAACGCUGGCGGCGUGCUUAACACAUGCAAGUCGAACGAUGAAGCUGGAGCUUGCUCUAGCGGAUUAGUGGCGAACGGGUGAGUAACACGUGAGCAAUCUGCCCUUGACUCUGGGAUAACUGCGGGAAACUGUAGCUAAUACCGGAUACUUUCACCGGGGGGCAUCCUCUGGUGAUGAAAGAAUUUCGGUCAAGGAUGAGCUCGCGGCCUAUCAGCUUGUUGGUGAGGUAACGGCUCACCAAGGCGACGACGGGUAGCCGGCCUGAGAGGGUGACCGGCCACACUGGGACUGAGACACGGCCCAGACUCCUACGGGAGGCAGCAGUGGGGAAUAUUGCACAAUGGGCGCAAGCCUGAUGCAGCAACGCCGCGUGAGGGAUGAAGGCCUUCGGGUUGUAAACCUCUUUUAGCAGGGAAGAAGCGAAAGUGACGGUACCUGCAGAAAAAGCACCGGCUAACUACGUGCCAGCCGCCGCGGUAA